Molecule: ribosomal RNA, 826 nt
Filed under: uncultured Streptococcus sp.
Lineage: Bacteria; Bacillati; Bacillota; Bacilli; Lactobacillales; Streptococcaceae
Description: bacterial SSU rRNA
Rfam family: Bacterial small subunit ribosomal RNA
Source: RNAcentral
GAACGCUGGCGGCGUGCUAAUACAUGCAAGUAGAACGCUGAAGCUUGGUGCUUGCACCGAGCGGAUGAGUUGCGAACGGGUGAGUAACGCGUAGGUAACCUGCCUCUUAGCGGGGGAUAACUAUUGGAAACGAUAGCUAAUACCGCAUAAAAGUCGAUAUCGCAUGAUAUUGAUUUGAAAGGUGCAAAUGCAUCACUAAGAGAUGGACCUGCGUUGUAUUAGCUAGUUGGUGAGGUAACGGCUCACCAAGGCGACGAUACAUAGCCGACCUGAGAGGGUGAUCGGCCACACUGGGACUGAGACACGGCCCAGACUCCUACGGGAGGCAGCAGUAGGGAAUCUUCGGCAAUGGGGGCAACCCUGACCGAGCAACGCCGCGUGAGUGAAGAAGGUUUUCGGAUCGUAAAGCUCUGUUGUAAGAGAAGAACGAGUGUGAGAGUGGAAAGUUCACGCUGUGACGGUAUCUUACCAGAAAGGGACGGCUAACUACGUGCCAGCAGCCGCGGUAAUACGUAGGUCCCGAGCGUUAUCCGGAUUUAUUGGGCGUAAAGCGAGCGCAGGCGGUUAGAUAAGUCUGAAGUUAAAGGCUGUGGCUUAACCAUAGUACGCUUUGGAAACUGUUUAACUUGAGUGCAGAAGGGGAGAGUGGAAUUCCAUGUGUAGCGGUGAAAUGCGUAGAUAUAUGGAGGAACACCGGUGGCGAAAGCGGCUCUCUGGUCUGUAACUGACGCUGAGGCUCGAAAGCGUGGGGAGCAAACAGGAUUAGAUACCCUGGUAGUCCACGCCGUAAACGAUGAGUGCUAGGUGUUGGGUCCUUUCCGGGACU